Non-coding RNA from Heterocephalus glaber (naked mole-rat), 1114 nucleotides. The record is from RefSeq and is a predicted model, not a curated record. Lineage: Eukaryota; Metazoa; Chordata; Mammalia; Rodentia; Bathyergidae.
UUACAGAUACACUCCACCACGCCCAGUCUCAACACAUCAUUUCGGACACUAGAUAUGUACAGGUUUUCCCCCCACACCAAGCCAGCGAGCAGUUUGGUAGUGGGCACCGGCUGGUGUUCUCUAAUUCCAUUCAAUUAUGAUGCCAUGAGAACAUGGAAUUAACAUCAGAUCCCCUGGGUAGAGAAUGCAGAUCCCAAGUCUGUCACCCCUGCCUCCACGUGCACACCCAUCACAGCCCUGGUGUUUCACCUGCAUUUCAGACGGAGUGAAAUCAUCACCUGAGCUUCCCACAUCCCUUUUCUUGGGUUCUACCCAUUUGCCCGAGUGACGCAUGGAACCCAGGCUUCCAAAAGCCAUCUUCAACCAGUAAGUACUGGAGACCCCGAGAGGGGCAGGGAAGGCUCAGUUCCAGCCUGCACAGCCACCCCGACCUGCAGAGCCCAAGCCAAGCUAUGUGCUGUCGACUGUGGCUCUUUCUUCUAAACACAAACGCAAUGUCCCUGCAGAGCUGCGUAAAACAAAGGCAGCUGAACUCAAUCCAGAUGGAAUCCAAGGAAACACUCUCAAAUGAAUCCUAGCAAGGAGUUCUGGGUGGAGAAACAACUCCAAUCUACCCUUUAUAGAUGGAAAUGCGGUCAAACUACUCUUCCUGAGGGCACAGUCACGAGAAAAACCAGCAGCCAACACCCCCAAAGACUUAAUGAGGAAGCUCAAAGGCGGGCCAGUGUCUAAAUUCUAAGCCACUCAGUUGCCAAGGCUGGGCUCAAGCAUGAUUCUCCUGCCUCGGCCUCCCAGAGUGCUGGGGUCAUGCUCAGGCUUGGUUCUCCACACCUCAGUUCUGCACGGUUUGUGGCAAACAUGAACAGGUACGCCCUGGGGAGGCCUGCCCGCUGCCUGCCCGCCGCAGCCCUUCUUUGCCUUGGGUUGAGCUUCCUCUGUGAACAGGGAGGGUGUGAAAGACUCUGGGCUUCGGACCAGCACUGAAACAAGCCAGGAACAAACCCUGUCACCCCCCCAGGCACAUGAAGGCACUGUCGGCCCCUAGGAACCAUGCAUGGACCCGGUUCUUCGGUCUCCACGCUUCCUUCCACAGAGCUCAGGGUUCGCUGAUGAC